CCUACGGGAGGCAGCAGUAGGGAAUUUUCCGCAAUGGGCGAAAGCCUGACGGAGCAAUACCGCGUGAGGGAUGACGGCCUGUGGGUUGUAAACCUCUUUUCUCAAGGAAGAAGUUCUGACGGUACUUGAGGAAUAAGCAUCGGCUAACUCUGUGCCAGCAGCCGCGGUAAUACAGAGGAUGCAAGCGUUAUCCGGAAUCACUGGGCAUAAAGCGUCUGUAGGUUGUUUAGUAAGUCUGCUGUUAAAGACUGGGGCUUAACCCCAGAAAAGCAGUGGAAACUGCUAGACUCGAGUGUGGUAGAGGUAGAGGGAAUUCCUAGUGUAGCGGUGAAAUGCGUAGAUAUUAGGAAGAACACCAAUGGCGAAGGCACUCUACUGGGCCAUAACUGACACUGAGAGACGACAGCUAGGGGAGCAAACGGGAUUAGAUACCCCGGUAGUCCUAGCCGUAAACGAUGGAUACUAGAUGUUGCACGUAUUAACCCGUGCAGUAUCGUAGCUAAGGCGUUAAGUAUCCCGCCUGGGAAGUACGCUCGCAGAGAGAACACAAGAAGUAGACGCGUGAGACGUGCCGACGGACGACGACGAGGGAGGUAGG
RNAcentral lists this ribosomal RNA (598 nucleotides) under uncultured bacterium. RNAcentral's name for it is "bacterial SSU rRNA". It matches the Rfam family "Bacterial small subunit ribosomal RNA", at positions 338 to 953 of the family's 1533-position model. The record is from RNAcentral.